CUAGCUGUAAACGAUGGAUACUAGGCGUUGAGAGUAUCGACCCUCCCAGUGUCGUAGCUAACGCGUUAAGUAUCCCGCCUGGGGAGUACGCGCGCAAGCGUGAAACUCAAAGGAAUUGACGGGGGCCCGCGCAAGCGGUGGAGUAUGUGGUUUAAUUCGAUGCAACGCGAAGAACCUUACCAGGGCUUGACAUGUCCGGAACCCUGCCCAAAGGCGGGGGUGCCUACGGGAACCGGAACACAGGUGGUGC
RNAcentral lists this ribosomal RNA (250 nucleotides) under uncultured Chroococcidiopsis sp. Its description in RNAcentral is "partial 16S ribosomal RNA". It matches the Rfam family "Bacterial small subunit ribosomal RNA", at positions 796 to 1044 of the family's 1533-position model. Lineage: Bacteria; Bacillati; Cyanobacteriota; Cyanophyceae; Chroococcidiopsidales; Chroococcidiopsidaceae. The record is from RNAcentral.